AGAGUUUGAUCCUGGCUCAGGACGAACGCUGGCGGCGUGCUUAACACAUGCAAGUCGAACGGAAAGGCCCUGCUUGCAGGGUACUCGAGUGGCGAACGGGUGAGUAACACGUGGGUGAUCUGCCCUGCACUUCGGGAUAAGCCUGGGAAACUGGGUCUAAUACCGGAUAGGAGCCAUUUUUAGUGUGAUGGUUGGAAAGUUUUUUCGGUGUAGGAUGAGCUCGCGGCCUAUCAGCUUGUUGGUGGGGUAAUGGCCUACCAAGGCGGCGACGGGUAGCCGGCCUGAGAGGGUGGACGGCCACAUUGGGACUGAGAUACGGCCCAGACUCCUACGGGAGGCAGCAGUGGGGAAUAUUGCACAAUGGGCGCAAGCCUGAUGCAGCGACGCCGCGUGGGGGAUGACGGCCUUCGGGUUGUAAACUCCUUUCGCUAGGGACGAAGCUUUUGUGACGGUACCUAGAUAAGAAGCACCGGCUAACUACGUGCCAGCAGCCGCGGUAAUACGUAGGGUGCGAGCGUUGUCCGGAAUUACUGGGCGUAAAGGGCUCGUAGGUGGUUUGUCGCGUCGUCUGUGAAAUUCCGGGGCUUAACUCCGGGCGUGCAGGCGAUACGGGCAUAACUUGAGUACUGUAGGGGUAACUGGAAUUCCUGGUGUAGCGGUGAAAUGCGCAGAUAUCAGGAGGAACACCGAUGGCGAAGGCAGGUUACUGGGCAGUUACUGACGCUGAGGAGCGAAAGCAUGGGUAGCGAACAGGAUUAGAUACCCUGGUAGUCCAUGCCGUAAACGGUGGGCGCUAGGUGUGAGGGUCUUUUUCACGACUUUCGUGCCGUAGCUAACGCAUAAGCGCCCCCGGCUGGGGGAGUACGGGCCGCAAGGCUAAACUCAAAGGAAUUGACGG
Molecule: ribosomal RNA, 898 nt
Filed under: uncultured bacterium
Lineage: Bacteria
Description: bacterial SSU rRNA
Rfam family: Bacterial small subunit ribosomal RNA
Source: RNAcentral